RNAcentral lists this ribosomal RNA (312 nucleotides) under Triticum aestivum (bread wheat). RNAcentral describes it as "partial small subunit ribosomal RNA". Lineage: Eukaryota; Viridiplantae; Streptophyta; Magnoliopsida; Poales; Poaceae. The record is from RNAcentral.
AUGCCCACCUCCCACGGGGCUCGCCUAGGAUGUUCACCCUCAACGAGGUUCGUGACCGCUGCGGCAUCCUCCUACUGCUCACGGUCACCUUCACCAACCCGUUUGACGCACGCGAGCUCCUCGGCCAAGUCUUUUGGUGCGGCUGCGAGGCCAUCUUCUUCACCGUGUACAACAUCUACACCAACUAUGAGAGCAUCUUCCCCACUCCAGGCCAGAUGCACUCCCUUCCCUACGACGAUGAGGAGGAGGUGUGAAGUUCAAGACGGUGUUGAAGGGGCGCGCGGCCAAGGUGGAAGAAGGAGGUCAAGAUGA